UGGGGAAUCUUGCGCAAUGGACGAAAGUCUGACGCAGCGACGCCGCGUGAGGGAGGAAGCUCUUCGGGGUGUAAACCUCUGUUGCCCGGAACGAAACUCUGGAUUCGUCCAGAUUGACGGUACCGGGUGAGGAAGCGCCGGCUAACUCUGUGCCAGCAGCCGCGGUAAUACAGAGGGCGCGAGCGUUGUCCGGAAUCACUGGGCGUAAAGGGCGCGUAGGUGGCCACUGUAAGGCCGUGGUGAAAGUCCGGGGCUCAACCCCGGAUCUGCCGCGGCGACUGCAGGGCUUGGGCACCGUAGAGGCAGAUGGAAUUCCGGGUGUAGCGGUGGAAUGCGUAGAGAUCCGGAAGAACACCGGUGGCGAAGGCGGUCUGCUGGGCGGUGGGGGCGCAAGCUUCCAAUAGCCGACACUGAGGCGCGACAGCGUGGGGAGCAAACAGGAUUAGAUACCCCCGUAGUCC
RNAcentral lists this ribosomal RNA (461 nucleotides) under uncultured bacterium. RNAcentral's name for it is "bacterial SSU rRNA". It matches the Rfam family "Bacterial small subunit ribosomal RNA", at positions 355 to 796 of the family's 1533-position model. The record is from RNAcentral.